UCCCUCCUCCAAUAAGAAGACUAAUGGGCGGCUAAUUUUAACGUAUGCUAUGUUCUUCCGUUGUGCCCUGCAUCAUCCUUCCGCUAGCUACUUGGCUGACUGCAUCACCAAUCUCCCUGCUUGUUUACGGUCAUCCUUGCAUCAGGCUUACACAACAGACUUCAAAGGAACAACCUUAGAUUUCCCCACCGCCUCCUCACAUUUCCCCCGUAAUAACUGAUGUUGUUGGUGGACGUCCUGAUUCAGCCACUGACGUCUCCUGGUUCAGGUUUCAAAUUAAUGGUGAAUGAUCAAUAGAAGAUCUCUCUUGGUUUGUUUUUGCUCCUCUUUGUCGCUCCUUGUCUCAUACAUAUCACGUCUUCCCUGUUCUUUCUCUCCUACAUAUCGCAAGGGGCUCUUGGGGACAAGAUGGUUUUCUAAUGUUGCUGAAAAAGCCGUGAAUGCUUGAGUUUUUGGUGGCUAUAGCAUCACCUGGCAAUUUCAAGGUGUAGGGUGAUCCCUUAUAGUCUCAUAUAUGACAAAACUGGUUUGGCAGGCUUGCAUAAGUUAUCUUCUUAAUUAAAUAUGGCUCUGUUAAUCUUACUAUUCCAUAUAGGUACUCUCUUUUUUAUAUUCUUUGUUAUUGUUACUAUGUGAUUAUUAAUUAUACUUAAAAGAAAUUGAAAUAUAAAUCAAUUAUUGUUUUAAUCAUUUUACCCUUUUUCAGUAAUGCAAAUAGGGUCUUGGCUCUCAAUGCACAUUAUUUCCUUGCAUAUAUGUCUACAAUUAAAACUUUUAUAGGGUAAAUUAUAUUUCUUCUGGGGUUCUGAAUCGAACAUAGACAAAAAUUAGGGAUACUAUUACCAGGUCCAUUCACAAUUUUUUAAGGGUUUUGUUGUUAUCUACAACAUGAGAUUUUUGGGUUUUGGUAUUGGUCCGACAGCAAUGAAUAAUUACUAAAUGUUCAAUACACCAAAUCCUUUUAUGUCAUAUAGUUGUUUACAUAUGUAAAUUUAAAUAUGAGAAUCGACCUAUAGCAAGAACUUAAUUUGCAGAUUAUUUUUUCCAUAUUUUUGCUCAAGCAUGUAUCUCCACUAUGCUACUUUAUCACAUCCAAAUAUGUCCAAGUUUAAUUCAUUAAUUUUCUUUUUCAUUGAAUAUUAACAAAAAAAAUAAAGUAAAUUUCAAAUAUUUUGAAAAUUUUGUGCAUAUAUAGCUUAGCUAUAAAAGAGCUUCCAGAACAGGAUCACACGCUAGCUCUAUCUAAGGCAAAUGUAAUUAUGAUUAUUUUAUAUUAACCUUUUAAAAAAUUUGUUUGCGAACGAUUUUUAUGUAGCACCUGGUUCCUGGUACGUAAAUCUUAUUUGAGUGUUUUCCAUUUUUUAGCCUUGGACUCGACGAGUCAUAGGUCCGACUCGUCGAGUAGAGACGGGACCCCGGGACACGUUUAAGUUGGUGACUCGGCGAGUCACCGCUGUUGGAUGAAACCCUAAGUUUCAAGGGUUUGCACCCUAUUUAAACAACAUAUCCGCCCCAAGCCAGCCCCUAUUCACCCCUCAGAGCUUCCAACCCUCGUUCUAAGCUAUUCAUAGAGAGUUUGAAGCAAUUGUUGUGUGUUCUUGAAGGUUUUGAGGCAAAAGGGAAGUAGAUCAAGAGGAAGGGAAGGAAUCCAAGCAUCUUUGUGCUCUCUAAGUAGUUCCUUUGAGCCGGAGGAUUUCCGGAGCAGCAGCAGCAGCAGUAGACAGUCAGUUCCCGAUCAGAUCAGCAGCUACUUCGAGGUACCUCUUCAGCCAAGGGGAAGGAGCAAGCGCGGUAGCGGCUCGUCACACACACUCCUUGAUUCCGCAUUUAUGAGUUUACCCUGGGAUUGAUACUCUGAUAUUUGAUUGAUCGAAUGUUGUGGUUUUCAAUUUGGUUUUCGAUGUAAUAUGGUUUAAUCAAACAAUGUUUUAACUAUUAAUGCUUUCAUGUAAUGUUUUAUAACGAAAUUUUUGGACGUGAAAAUUGGGUCGUUACAAGUUGGUAUCAGAGCCCUGGUUUGAGGGAUUCGGACACACCUUCGGGGGUGUCUGAACUCAAAUCGAGGGAUUAAAAGAUUUUCUAAAAGAAAAUGUUUUCUAAAAUUUGAGAAAAGAGUUUCGAGAAA
Lactuca sativa (garden lettuce) is the source of this 2125-nucleotide non-coding RNA. Lineage: Eukaryota; Viridiplantae; Streptophyta; Magnoliopsida; Asterales; Asteraceae. The record is from RefSeq and is a predicted model, not a curated record.